This 263-nucleotide ribosomal RNA is filed under the name uncultured Clostridium sp. RNAcentral's name for it is "partial 16S ribosomal RNA". It matches the Rfam family "Bacterial small subunit ribosomal RNA", at positions 542 to 797 of the family's 1533-position model. The record is from RNAcentral. Lineage: Bacteria; Bacillati; Bacillota; Clostridia; Eubacteriales; Clostridiaceae.
CGUUCGGAUUCUGGGNGUAAGGGUGNGCAGGCGGUUAAUCAAGCCAUAGUGGUGAAAGUCUAAGGGCUUNACCUUAGGAAUGCAUAUUGAACUGUGUUAACCUAGAGUGCAUGGAGAGGCAAGUGGAAUUCCUAGUGUAGCGGUGAAAUGCGUAGAUAUUAUGGAGGAACACCAGGUGGCGAAGGCGACUUGCUGGACUGUAACUGACGCUGAGUCACGAAAGCGUGGGGAGCAAACAGGAUUAGAUACCCNUGGGUAGUCCA